Molecule: long non-coding RNA, 319 nt
Filed under: Elaeis guineensis (African oil palm)
Lineage: Eukaryota; Viridiplantae; Streptophyta; Magnoliopsida; Arecales; Arecaceae
Description: long non-coding RNA (EGUI_LNC052010)
Source: RNAcentral
ACUUAUGUAACCAACUUAGUUGAUUAAGUUUUGAAUAAAGUUGCUUCGUCAUUCGUGUUCACCCAUACCGACUAGGAUCGUCGACAUAAGACUGUGCUGAUCUAAACUUGAUCAGUCAGACAUGAGAUUGUGCUGACUAUAUGAGAUCUGAACCCAAACUUUCCCAUAAAUAUUAAAUCCUAGGUCUUCCAUCAUUGUAGGAGUGCGGGUGUUCUACUGGUGUUGAUUGCUCUCGACUAUUACAGUGGUUCAGUUGCAUUGAGAAGACGCAACCACCCUAUUAGCAUGAGAUAUUGCUAGGUAAUGAUGGGGUUGGACC